RNAcentral lists this small RNA (29 nucleotides) under Bombyx mori (domestic silkworm). Its description in RNAcentral is "ovarian small RNA-34888". Lineage: Eukaryota; Metazoa; Arthropoda; Insecta; Lepidoptera; Bombycidae. The record is from RNAcentral.
UGGCGCAGGAGAUGGGCCGUCCCUCGGCU